Molecule: ribosomal RNA, 312 nt
Filed under: uncultured bacterium
Lineage: Bacteria
Description: partial 16S ribosomal RNA
Rfam family: Bacterial small subunit ribosomal RNA
Source: RNAcentral
AUUGAACGCUGGGGGAUUGCUUCCCUUUUGAAAGUCAAACGGCAGCAUAGGUGCUUGCACCUGAUGGUGAGGGGCGAACGGGUGAGUAAUACAUCGAACCUUGCCCAGUCGGGGGGAAUAACGUACCGAAAGUUACGCUAAUACCGCAUACAAUCUACGGAUGAAAGCGGGGGACCGUAAGGCCUCCCGCGAUUGGAGCGGCCGAUGUUAAAUUAGGUAGUUGGGGGGGAAAAGGCUCACCAAGCCAACAAUCUAUAGUUGGUCUGAAAGGAUGAUCAGCCACACUGGGACUGAGACACGGCCCAAACUCCU